Molecule: long non-coding RNA, 1403 nt
Organism: Schistocerca nitens (vagrant locust)
Lineage: Eukaryota; Metazoa; Arthropoda; Insecta; Orthoptera; Acrididae
Exons: 2
Source: RefSeq, a predicted model, not a curated record
GCCAGAGGAGUCGAUUUGUGCGAAAGGUGGUACAAAAUUGCUUCCUCGACUUGACUGCCAUCUGGCGGUCGUAAUCAUUCGGCAUGAUUCGAAAGUUGCCUUCGAUCGAAGCAUAGCCUAGUGCGUACGCAAGAAUCGAUGAACCGUUGGAACUUAGAAUCGUCACGACUUGGAAACACGGAAUCUUUCUUACGUUUCUUUUGAUCGACGAUUCGUCGGUAUCACGAUUCGAUUCUUUAUUUAGAGUCGUUCAAAUGAACGACUCAUUCACGAAUCGCCACAACUCUAGUCAGCGGGGGCUAACGGUAGAUUGUUACCUUGACAUUCAAAGGGUUAAGGGCCUUUUUUGUGUUAUAUUAAAUGGAGUGUUGCAGACUUCACUAUUCAACAAGUCACAAAGACUUUAACUCAUUUGUGUGACUUUGUUGCAAAUUUGUUGGAGUGUUGUAGAACCAUCGUUCUUGUAUCCUGCUAUCUGUCACUGGAGCAUAGCCUUUGACGAAAACGUUGGGGACAACAUAGCAGCCAACUACAAAUCAGAUUCCUGGUCGAUGCAACCCAAGCGCCAUCCUUCACAGUGGGGUCAUGCAAUGCUGUUUUCGGACCUCGGGCUGGUGGACAUCAAUCUGAUGCCGCAUCUGCCCACUAGCGGACGUCCGGCAGCACCUGCCAUGUCACCACUACUGGGUAAACCCCACGCCGAGGCCUCCCGAGGGGCCUCCAGUUAGACAGAUGCUGUUGCGGAUUCACACCAUCAAGAAGAUGCCCUGCCAAUGGGUGUUGGGAUGCACUUUCUGCGUCGUUUUUCUGCCGGUGUUCCAUCGCAGUCUAAAGACCGAUGUCAGGGUGUGACUUAGCAUCGGGUAUAGCAACUGUCGCUGCUCCAGCACUGGUUCCAACACCCAUGCCUCCCCCUCACCAUCAAUACGGUGCUCAGCCGUACAUGACAAUGGUGCAGUGGUUUAGGGGGGGAGGAGUGCUGUGUCUUCUGAACAAGACACAGCCAGGGAAAAAGCACCACAGGCACAAUGAUGCGAGCUGAUGCCAGUGCCAUAGACACUCACCACUUGCGCGAGUUUCACCAGCACCACAGGCAGCGUUGAGGCUGAAGAUGUCAAAUUUGCCUCAGCCAAUUGCCAGCUGAGUACAAUCCGCCAAUGACCGGACAACGGCAGACAGAAGGCUACUCAGAAGACAGAAGAACAGUUCUCGCCCACUUGGUUAUAGAUCCGUGUCCAGAGCUGACUUAGACUGUGACCGCUCUGUAGUGAACUCUUAGAAGUCAACAGACAGUUGUAAUUUGCAUUUGCUAUUACUGUGAAUUUACAUUUGUUAUAUUACAUGUAGUGUUGCAGACUUCAUUAUUCUACAAAUCACAAAAAUAAAUAAACCUUUUUAACUCA